RNAcentral lists this ribosomal RNA (372 nucleotides) under uncultured organism. RNAcentral's name for it is "partial 16S ribosomal RNA". It matches the Rfam family "Bacterial small subunit ribosomal RNA", at positions 527 to 896 of the family's 1533-position model. The record is from RNAcentral.
GUAGGUGGCAAGCGUUGUCCGGAAUUAUUGGGCGUAAAGCGCGCGCAGGCGGUUCUUUAAGUCUGAUGUGAAAGCCCACGGCUCAACCGUGGAGGGUCAUUGGAAACUGGAGAACUUGAGUACAGAAGAGGAAAGCGGAAUUCCACGUGUAGCGGUGAAAUGCGUAGAGAUGUGGAGGAACACCAGUGGCGAAGGCGGCUUUCUGGUCUGUAACUGACGCUGAGGCGCGAAAGCGUGGGGAGCAAACAGGGAUUAGAUACCCUGGUAGUCCACGCCGUAAACGAUGAGUGCUAAGUGUUAGGGGGUUUCCGCCCCCUUAGUGCUGCAGCUAACGCAUUAAGCACUCUGCCUGGGAGUACGGCCGCAAGGCUG